This 947-nucleotide ribosomal RNA is filed under the name human gut metagenome. RNAcentral describes it as "bacterial SSU rRNA". It matches the Rfam family "Bacterial small subunit ribosomal RNA", at positions 555 to 1520 of the family's 1533-position model. The record is from RNAcentral.
UGGGUUUAAAGGAGCUUAGUUGGAUGUUAAGUCAGUGGGAAAGUUUGCGGCUCAACCGUAAAUUGCAGUUGAAACUGGCAUUCUUGAGAACAGUAGAGGUGGGCGGAAUUCGUGGUGUACCGGUGAAAUGCUUAGAUAUCACGAAGAACUCCGAUUGCGAAGACAGCUCACUAGACUGUUACUGACACUGAUGCUCGAAAGUGUGGGUAUCAAACAGGAUUAGAUACCCUGGUAGUCCACACAGUAAACGAUGAAUACUCGCUGUUUGCGAUAUACAGUAAGCGGCCAAGCGAAAGCAUUAAGUAUUCCACCUGGGGAGUACGCCGGCAACGGUGAAACUCAAAGGAAUUGACGGGGGCCCGCACAAGCGGAGGAACAUGUGGUUUAAUUCGAUGAUACGCGAGGAACCUUACCCGGGCUUAAAUUGCAACAGAAUAUAUUGGAAACAGUAUAGCCGUAAGGCUGUUGUGAAGGUGCUGCAUGGUUGUCGUCAGCUCGUGCCGUGAGGUGUCGGCUUAAGUGCCAUAACGAGCGCAACCCUUAUCUUUAGUUACUAACAGGUCAUGCUGAGGACUCUAGAGAGACUGCCGUCGUAAGAUGUGAGGAAGGUGGGGAUGACGUCAAAUCAGCACGGCCCUUACGUCCGGGGCUACACACGUGUUACAAUGGGGGGUACAGAAGGCGGCUACCUGGUGACAGGAUGCUAAUCCCAAAAACCUCUCUCAGUUCGGAUCGAAGUCUGCAACCCGACUUCGUGAAGCUGGAUUCGCUAGUAAUCGCGCAUCAGCCAUGGCGCGGUGAAUACGUUCCCGGGCCUUGUACACACCGCCCGUCAAGCCAUGAAAGCCGGGGGUACCUGAAGUACGUAACCGCAAGGAGCGUCCUAGGGUAAAACUGGUAAUUGGGGCUAAGUCGUAACAAGGUAGCCGUACCGGAAGGUGCGGCUG